Molecule: ribosomal RNA, 771 nt
Filed under: uncultured Pseudoalteromonadaceae bacterium
Lineage: Bacteria; Pseudomonadati; Pseudomonadota; Gammaproteobacteria; Alteromonadales; Pseudoalteromonadaceae
Description: bacterial SSU rRNA
Rfam family: Bacterial small subunit ribosomal RNA
Source: RNAcentral
AUUGAACGCUGGCGGGCAGGCCUAACACAUGCAAGUCGAGCGGAAACGAGUUAUCUGAACCUUCGGGGAACGAUAACGGCGUCGAGCGGCGGACGGGUGAGUAAUGCCUAGGAAAUUUGCCCUGAUGUGGGGGAUAACCAUUGGAAACGAUGGCUAAUACCGCAUGAUGCCUACGGGCCAAAGAGGGGGACCUUCGGGCCUCUCGCGUCAGGAUAUGCCUAGGUGGGAUUAGCUAGUUGGUGAGGUAAGGGCUCACCAAGGCGACGAUCCCUAGCUGGUCUGAGAGGAUGAUCAGCCACACUGGAACUGAGACACGGUCCAGACUCCUACGGGAGGCAGCAGUGGGGAAUAUUGCACAAUGGGCGCAAGCCUGAUGCAGCCAUGCCGCGUGUAUGAAGAAGGCCUUCGGGUUGUAAAGUACUUUCAGUCGUGAGGAAGGCGGCGUCGUUAAUAGCGGCGUUGUCUGACGUUAGCGACAGAAGAAGCACCGGCUAACUCCGUGCCAGCAGCCGCGGUAAUACGGAGGGUGCGAGCGUUAAUCGGAAUUACUGGGCGUAAAGCGCAUGCAGGUGGUUUGUUAAGUCAGAUGUGAAAGCCCGGGGCUCAACCUCGGAAUAGCAUUUGAAACUGGCAGACUAGAGUACUGUAGAGGGGGGUAGAAUUUCAGGUGUAGCGGUGAAAUGCGUAGAGAUCUGAAGGAAUACCGGUGGCGAAGGCGGCCCCCUGGACAGAUACUGACACUCAGAUGCGAAAGCGUGGGGAGCAAACAGG